Molecule: ribosomal RNA, 442 nt
Filed under: uncultured bacterium
Lineage: Bacteria
Description: bacterial SSU rRNA
Rfam family: Bacterial small subunit ribosomal RNA
Source: RNAcentral
CUACGGGAGGCAGCAGUAAGGAAUAUUGGACAAUGGGCGAAAGCCUGAUGGAGCAACGCCGCGUGCAGGAUGAAGGCCUUCGGGUUGUAAACUGCUUUUAUAAGUGAAGAUUAUGACGGUAACUUAUGAAUAAGGAUCGGCUAACUCCGUGCCAGCAGCCGCGGUCAUACGGAGGAUCCAAGCGUUAUCCGGAAUUACUGGGCGUAAAGAGUUGCGUAGGCGGUUAAGUAAGUGAGUAGUGAAACUGUGUGGCUCAACCAUGCACCCAUUAUUCAAACUGCUUUGACUAGAGAGUGGAAGAGGUUGCUAGAAUUCCUAGUGUAGGGGUGAAAUCCGUAGAUAUUAGGAGGAAUACCAAUGGCGUAGGCAGGCAACUGGUCCAUUUCUGACGCUCAGGCACGAAAGCGUGGGGAGCGAUCGGGAUUAGAAACCCGAGUAGUCC